CCAACGUGGGCAUCCAGCAAGUUUAUUCUUAUCUGGCUCUGUCCGUGUGGCAUGUGGGAGCGUAGACCUUUGGUCUGUGACGUACAGUCCCAUUCCAUGACGUUGGAGAGCAAGUGUCCCCAGCUUUUAAGCUGAUGACUGCAUCGUGUAUAUUCCUAGACCUUCUCAGUCUACAGUGGUUGGGAAGAUAAACCAUGCGCGGUACAAUA
Molecule: small nucleolar RNA, 209 nt
Organism: Amblyraja radiata (thorny skate)
Lineage: Eukaryota; Metazoa; Chordata; Chondrichthyes; Rajiformes; Rajidae
Product: small nucleolar RNA SNORA73 family
Exons: 1
Source: RefSeq, a predicted model, not a curated record